Molecule: ribosomal RNA, 460 nt
Filed under: uncultured bacterium
Lineage: Bacteria
Description: partial 16S ribosomal RNA
Rfam family: Bacterial small subunit ribosomal RNA
Source: RNAcentral
CCUACGGGAGGCAGCAGUGAGGAAUAUUGGUCAAUGGCCGGAAGGCUGAACCAGCCAUGCCGCGUGAAGGUCAGUGCCCUAUGGGCUUUAAACUUCUUUUGUGCGGGAGCAAUAAUGGUCACGUGUGGCCAGACGAGAGUACCGUACGAAUAAGCAUCGGCUAACUCCGUGCCAGCAGCCGCGGUAAUACGGGGGAUGCAAGUGUUAUCCGGAGUUAUUGGGUUUAAAGGGUGCGUAGGCUGGGAGGUAAGUCAGCGUGGAAAUUCCCCCGCUCAAGGGGGUGAAGUGCAAUUGAUACUGGCUUGCUUGAAUGCGGAUGAGGUGGGAGGAAUGUGUGGUGUAGCGGUGAAAUGCAUAGAUAUCAGACAGAACACCGAUUGCGAAGGCAUCUCACGAAUCCGCGAUUGACGCUGAUGCACGAAAGCGUGGGUAUCAAACAGGAUUAGAUACCCCUGUAGUC